Molecule: RNA transcript, 2269 nt
Organism: Zea mays
Lineage: Eukaryota; Viridiplantae; Streptophyta; Magnoliopsida; Poales; Poaceae
Exons: 5
Source: RefSeq, a predicted model, not a curated record
UCCUUGCUUUCCUCUCUACUCUGUGCAGUGCUGGCUUAGAGAUGUCAAUGGGGACCCGAUACCCGCUAACCCGUGGGGAAUUCCCCUAUUAGGGUACGGGUAUGAGACAAAAAUUAUCUCCAUAGGUAUGGAUAUGGGACAGAAUCUCCACUCAUUGGGUAAACGGGUAUGAGUUUGGUAAGCAAUAAUCCGAACCCGAUUACCCAUGAAUAUUUCAUACGUAUACACAUGUCCUAUUUAUAUGAAUGAGUUGAGGCCGAGUCGGCCAUCAAGCCCAGCAGACUCCAUUUCUUAUAUUGGUCCUGACGUACUGAUUUUUUCUGAUGGAUAGAUGAAUGGAUCAUGGUUCAUAGAUGAGUGCUUGUCGAUGUGGUGAUAUAUGAAAUCUGGAUAGUUUGUGCUAGAUGUUAGUACCCGAUUAUCCCUUAAUUGGGGAUGGGGACCCAUUGGGGACUCGAAACCCGAAUAGGGAUAGGUAUGAGAUGAGUUUUGUACCCAUGAUAGAUAUGAGUAUGAGUACGAGGAUGGAUCAAAUAUGAUGGGGAUGAGUUUGGUAUGCUAUAACCCGGUGGGGAAUUCCCCAUUGACAUCUCUGCUGGGCUUGGAUCUGUCUCCCAGUCCAUACGGCGCCUCUGCACCAGCAAGCACAGUAGCGGCGAGGCGGGGCGCCGCCGUCUUCUACUCUACCUGGCCCGGCCGGCCGCCGUGCAGGCGCACCGAUCCAAUCCUCGGAGCUGGCGGAGUCUCCGGCCGCCCGGCGCCCGAUGCUGCCCGCCACCCGAGGCAGCAAGCCACCGCAGAGGUCCGCCGCCAGAUCCUGCUCCGCCUCCUUAGUCCUUAUCAGAAGUCAUGGACCUGUCGUCGGACCCGAAGCGCAAGCCGCGCUGCCUCAGCAAGGUGGUCAUGCUCGCGCUCCUCAUGAGCUAAGCUACAGCUCAUGAUGAAAUAAACAUUGCCAAGGAAGCUUCUCUGAAAACAUAUUAGGUUGAUGGCAGCAUGCUAAAGCAGAAAAGAAAAUACUAAGUUUUACCUAUAGCACAUACUACCAUGAUGGCCAGGGUUUAUCCUCUUAGCAAUCUCGGACCAGGAAGGCCCGAAGCCUCGAACUCAGAUAACAUGGAAACUUCUUCAGGCCGCUAGUCAUCAAAAUAUAAAUCUGGAUCAAGAAUAUUGGUCGCUCUGCCAAGGACCGCUAGAAUAUGGUAUCCACUGCUCUGGCUCCACGCCUCCGCUGCGGCAUUCUCCACUGCUCUCUUCUUCUCCAACUCCGGUGGCCGGCACGACCGCAACACAGCUCAUUCCCUCAAAUCCGUGAUCGACUGUGCCUUGAUUUGGUUACAUGAACUGGCAAGAAAAAAAAUCUUAUAUUUCUAUAUUACAAAGCCGGUUCAAAACGGCAUCUAUGAGACUAUCCACGUCGCUCCAAAAAUCGUGGCCGUUCAAUGGUGGAUCGUCCACCUGCUCUCUCGUGCGCCAGCGUAUCAACGUCAUCGCAAUUUCUCUGAGCCGCUCGAUCUCCCAGCAACAGACACAGAUCGCCCAGUAGCAUCUUCCUCUAGACUCUUCUUCCUCGCCUUUGACCGGUCUCCUCGUCACGCGAUGCUUCCAGGAGGAUCUCUACUUCACCCAGAUUUCCAGGCUCCCAUCCCAUCCUCACCUCCGACACUACGCCUCGUACCUCGUGCCCACCGCCACCAACUUUGCUCCCGAUGCUCCGCGGCUUCGCCUUGGCACGCGUCGGUCGUGCCCGCGGCCUCGCUCCUCCACUAGCAUAGCUGCAUAGGCACAGGUGAACCCGCACAACGACAUAGGCGGCGCUCCGCGCCUGGCUCCUAUCGGCUACCGCCACGCCUGGCUUUGCCUCGGCACGCGCCGAGUCGUGCCUUAGCCCCCAACCCCCCUCUUGCACAGGAUUAGUCGUCUUGUAUCUUCAACAUUACGAAGUGAUGAUGGCCUUCUUUUCCUGAAAGGAUGAUGACUAUCUUGCUCCUCUCCAAGCUGAUCAAGAAAAAGAGUUGAAGCUUGUGCAGUAGGUUGAACUCCAUAGGGUAGAGGAAGCUGCAGUAAGAGAGGCUGCUCUUGAACAUCAAAAGAAAGAAAAGAAGCUAAAAAAGAACAUGAGGAAGAGGUAGUUCACUUAGUACUAUCAAGGUUCGGUAGUAGGAAACGGGUGACGCCUAAGAGGGGGGGGUGAAUUAGGACUUCCAAAACUUUUACUAAACUAGGCCACAAUUAAAUCCCUAAAGCAAAACCUUUGCAAGUAAUCAAA